AAGAUUAUCAUUUCUCGUCCGAUAAAAUUGGAACGAUACAAGAUUAGCAUGACCUCUGUGCAAGGAUGACACACAUAAAUAUUUUGUUGAUACGUUCCCUU
Molecule: small nuclear RNA, 101 nt
Organism: Salvia splendens (bonfire salvia)
Lineage: Eukaryota; Viridiplantae; Streptophyta; Magnoliopsida; Lamiales; Lamiaceae
Source: RefSeq, a predicted model, not a curated record